This 275-nucleotide long non-coding RNA is filed under the name Meriones unguiculatus (Mongolian gerbil). RNAcentral's name for it is "lncRNA (ENSMUGG00000002744.1)". Lineage: Eukaryota; Metazoa; Chordata; Mammalia; Rodentia; Muridae. The record is from RNAcentral.
CAGAGGCCAUGGGCAAGGCAAAGCUAGAAGGACUUCUUGACCGGCCUUUUAUAGAAACUUUGUAGCUGCCCACCCUUGGGGUUCAAGGGAGCGGGAGAGAUGACUCUCAAAUAUGAGGAAUUUGAUCAGGUUGAUGAGAUUUCAUUGAUGUCAACUAUACGACUGUGUCCUGUCAUAAGAUCUGUUUGCCUCCAAGACAAUGAAAAACAGCCGUUGUAAUCCUUUCUCUUGCUUAAGCAGGAAGUCACCACUCAACGGAUUUUAAAAAGCCUGAG